UACGUAGGGGGCAAGCGUUGUCCGGAUUUACUGGGCGUAAAGAGCGCGCAGGCGGUCGUUCAAGUCGAGUGUGAAAGCCCCCGGCUCAACUGGGGAGGGUCAUUCGAUACUGAUCGACUGGAAGGCAGGAGAGGGAAGCGGAAUUCCCGGUGUAGUGGUGAAAUGCGUAGAUAUCGGGAGGAACACCUGCGGCGAAGGCGGGUUGCUGGGCUGACACUGACGCUGAGGCGCGAAAGCUAGGGGAGCGAACGGG
RNAcentral lists this ribosomal RNA (253 nucleotides) under uncultured bacterium. Its description in RNAcentral is "partial 16S ribosomal RNA". It matches the Rfam family "Bacterial small subunit ribosomal RNA", at positions 524 to 776 of the family's 1533-position model. The record is from RNAcentral.